CGUUGAGUCUGGGCGCAGCCUGAUCCAGCCAUACCGCGUGGGUGAAGAAGGCCUUCGGGUUGUAAAGCCCUUUUGUUGGGAAAGAAAUCCAGCCGGCUAAUACCUGGUUGGGAUGACGGUACCCAAAGAAUAAGCACCGGCUAACUUCGUGCCAGCAGCCGCGGUAAUA
This 169-nucleotide ribosomal RNA is filed under the name uncultured Stenotrophomonas sp. RNAcentral's name for it is "partial 16S ribosomal RNA". It matches the Rfam family "Bacterial small subunit ribosomal RNA", at positions 359 to 525 of the family's 1533-position model. Lineage: Bacteria; Pseudomonadati; Pseudomonadota; Gammaproteobacteria; Lysobacterales; Lysobacteraceae. The record is from RNAcentral.